UAGCUAAUACCGCAUAACGUCGCAAGACCAAAGAGGGGGACCUUCGGGCCUCUUGCCAUCGGAUGUGCCCAGAUGGGAUUAGCUAGUAGGUGGGGUAACGGCUCACCUAGGCGACGAUCCCUAGCUGGUCUGAGAGGAUGACCAGCCACACUGGAACUGAGACACGGUCCAGACUCCUACGGGAGGCAGCAGUGGGGAAUAUUGCACAAUGGGCGCAAGCCUGAUGCAGCCAUGCCGCGUGUAUGAAGAAGGCCUUCGGGUUGUAAAGUACUUUCAGCGGGGAGGAAGGGAGUAAAGUUAAUACCUUUGCUCAUUGACGUUACCCGCAGAAGAAGCACCGGCUAACUCCGUGCCAGCAGCCGCGGUAAUACGGAGGGUGCAAGCGUUAAUCGGAAUUACUGGGCGUAAAGCGCACGCAGGCGGUUUGUUAAGUCAGAUGUGAAAUCCCCGGGCUCAACCUGGGAACUGCAUCUGAUACUGGCAAGCUUGAGUC
This 493-nucleotide ribosomal RNA is filed under the name Escherichia coli. RNAcentral's name for it is "bacterial SSU rRNA". It matches the Rfam family "Bacterial small subunit ribosomal RNA", at positions 160 to 648 of the family's 1533-position model. Lineage: Bacteria; Pseudomonadati; Pseudomonadota; Gammaproteobacteria; Enterobacterales; Enterobacteriaceae. The record is from RNAcentral.